GCCUGGGUGGCUCAGUCGGUUAAGCAUCUGACUUCAGCUCAGGUCAUGAUCUCAUGGUUCAUGGGUUUGAGCCCCACAUCAGGCU
RNAcentral lists this transfer RNA (85 nucleotides) under Felis catus (domestic cat). It matches the Rfam family "tRNA". Rfam says of the family: Transfer RNA (tRNA) molecules are approximately 80 nucleotides in length. Their secondary structure includes four short double-helical elements and three loops (D, anti-codon, and T loops). Lineage: Eukaryota; Metazoa; Chordata; Mammalia; Carnivora; Felidae. RNAcentral also lists the same sequence under 5 other names. The record is from Rfam by way of RNAcentral.